RNAcentral lists this small RNA (94 nucleotides) under Paenibacillus sp. P22. RNAcentral describes it as "Repression of heat shock gene expression (ROSE) element". Lineage: Bacteria; Bacillati; Bacillota; Bacilli; Caryophanales; Paenibacillaceae. The record is from RNAcentral.
GAGGCCUGCCGAAUUCGGCAGGCCUCAAGUUUUAUGAGAGCGGGAAACCAGUUCUCAUAUCGUCAUUAGAAGCAGAAGCUGCUGAUGAUGAUAA